Mauremys reevesii (Reeves's turtle) is the source of this 794-nucleotide long non-coding RNA. RefSeq lists it as uncharacterized. The transcript has 3 exons. NCBI's taxonomy places the organism in Eukaryota, Metazoa, Chordata, Testudines, Geoemydidae. The record is from RefSeq and is a predicted model, not a curated record.
UUGUGUUUACAGGUGAGGAGAAUUCCAGGGCUGUGUUUGCUCUGGAGAUCCCAGCUGAUAUACCACUAGUGCAGAUCCACACACAGAUAUGCUUAUUCUUCAACAAACAAAAUGCAUCCUGGCUUCCUAGGUUUCUCCCUCCCAUUGAGUAUGUUGUAGAUCUUGAAUCCAUCCCCUCAAAGUGCAGUGCUACACCGAAAAGUGACUAUAUACACCUGGCCCUAAAUUCAGCAGCUCUGCUCCCUGUGUGUAUUCAGCCUGAGAACUACUGGCUCUAGUGACAAGUGUAUUUUUGGACAGCUUUCUGAUGCCUGUUUGCCCUGCAGAGCCAACACAGCUCAGGGAGAGGAAGCUGUGAGACAUUAACAGAAUUGUUUACGAGGUUCCAGUCUGUGACACCCGUUCACACCCAUUGCCCACAUGGAGUUUCACAAGUAUCACAGAGGCCAUUGAUUGCCCUGCAGAAUCCUUGUUACUGGUGAUGACAUGGGAGAAGGCUAGCGGCUAGUUUGACUUUCAGGCCAGGUCUACGCUUUGCCAGUACAGCUCUGUUGGUCGGGGUGUGAUCCCUGAUCAAGACAGCUGUGCUAGCAAAAGCCACUAGUGUACCAGCAAAUGUGUGCUCUUACUGGUAUAGCUUGUUUCACAGGUGGGGGUGGUUUUGCAAUACCAGUAUCUCCAGACUAGGAGCACUUUGUGGCUAUAGUGUACUGGUCUUCCUAUACUGGUGAAGCACUCCUAGUAUAGACACAGCCUCAGGCUUGUCUAUGUUACAAAACUAUACUGCAUUUGAA